CUUUGGGUGUGACUGCGUACCUUUUGUAUAAUGGGUCAGCGACUUAUAUUCUGUAGCAAGGUUAACCGAAUAGGGGAGCCGGAGGGAAACCGAGUCUUAACCGGGCGUUAAGUUGCAGGGUAUAGACCCGAAACCCGGUGAUCUAGCCAUGGGCAGGUUGAAGGUUGGGUAACACUAACUGGAGGACCGAACCGACUAAUGUUGAAAAAUUAGCGGAUGACCUGUGGCUGGGGGUGAAAGGCCAAUCAAACCGGGAGAUAGCUGGUUCUCCCCGAAAGCUAUUUAGGUAGCGCCUCGUGAAUUCAUCUCCGGGGGUAGAGCACUGUUUCGGCUAGGGGGCCAUCCCGGCUUACCAACCCGAUGCAAACUGCGAAUACCGGAGAAUGUUAUCACGGGAGACACACGGCGGGUGCUAACGUCCGUCGUGAAGAGGGAAACAACCCAGACCGCCAGCUAAGGUCCCAAAGUCAUGGUUAAGUGGGAAACGAUGUGGGAAGGCCCAGACAGCCAGGAUGUUGGCUUAGAAGCAGCCAUCAUUUAAAGAAAGCGUAAUAGCUCACUGGUCGAGUCGGCCUGCGCGGAAGAUGUAACGGGGCUAAACCAUGCACCGAAGCUGCGGCAGCGACACUGUGUG
This 634-nucleotide ribosomal RNA is filed under the name Salmonella enterica subsp. enterica serovar Enteritidis. Its description in RNAcentral is "partial 23S ribosomal RNA". It matches the Rfam family "Bacterial large subunit ribosomal RNA", at positions 583 to 1220 of the family's 2925-position model. Lineage: Bacteria; Pseudomonadati; Pseudomonadota; Gammaproteobacteria; Enterobacterales; Enterobacteriaceae. The record is from RNAcentral.